Molecule: ribosomal RNA, 57 nt
Filed under: Aliiroseovarius halocynthiae
Lineage: Bacteria; Pseudomonadati; Pseudomonadota; Alphaproteobacteria; Rhodobacterales; Paracoccaceae
Source: RNAcentral
ACGGUUGCGCCAAUGGUACUGCAUCUUAAGGUGUGGGAGAGUAGGUCACCGCCAAAC